GGGGAUUUAGCUCAGUGGUAGAGCGCUUGCCUAGCAAGCACAAGGCCCUGGGUUUGGUUCCUAGCUCCG
RNAcentral lists this transfer RNA (69 nucleotides) under Rattus norvegicus (Norway rat). It matches the Rfam family "tRNA". Rfam says of the family: Transfer RNA (tRNA) molecules are approximately 80 nucleotides in length. Their secondary structure includes four short double-helical elements and three loops (D, anti-codon, and T loops). The record is from Rfam by way of RNAcentral. Lineage: Eukaryota; Metazoa; Chordata; Mammalia; Rodentia; Muridae.